UCUUACGGUAGGCAGCAGUGGGGAAUCUUGCGCAAUGGGCGGUUUCUAGGAGGAAAAACGCCGCGUGGGGGAUGACGGCCUUCGGGUUGUAAACCAUUUUGGUGACAGNANANAAUUAACUUGUUGGGCNUGAGGGCGAAUUGGGNCCAACNACGCAUGCUCCCUUGCGCCAUAGCAGCCGCGGUAAUAC
This 190-nucleotide ribosomal RNA is filed under the name uncultured bacterium. Its description in RNAcentral is "partial 16S ribosomal RNA". It matches the Rfam family "Bacterial small subunit ribosomal RNA", at positions 337 to 526 of the family's 1533-position model. The record is from RNAcentral.